Molecule: ribosomal RNA, 1368 nt
Filed under: uncultured bacterium
Lineage: Bacteria
Description: 16S ribosomal RNA
Rfam family: Bacterial small subunit ribosomal RNA
Source: RNAcentral
GAUGAACGCUGGCGGCGUGCCUAAUACAUGCAAGUCGAGCGAACGGACGAGAAGCUUGCUUCUCUGAUGUUAGCGGCGGACGGGUGAGCAACACGUGGAUAACCUACCUAUAAGACUGGGAUAACUUCGGGAAACCGGAGCUAAUACCGGAUAAUAUUUUGAACCGCAUGGUUCAAAAGUGAAAGACGGUCUUGCUGUCACUUAUAGAUGGAUCCGCGCUGCAUUAGCUAGUUGGUAAGGUAACGGCUUACCAAGGCAACGAUGCAUAGCCGACCUGAGAGGGUGAUCGGCCACACUGGAACUGAGACACGGUCCAGACUCCUACGGGAGGCAGCAGUAGGGAAUCUUCCGCAAUAGGCGAAAGCCUGACGGAGCAACGCCGCGUGAGUGAUGAAGGUCUUCGGAUCGUAAAACUCUGUUAUUAGGGAAGAACAUAUGUGUAAGUAACUGUGCACAUCUUGACGGUACCUAAUCAGAAAGCCACGGCCAACUACGUGCCAGCAGCCGCGGUAAUACGUAGGUGGCAAGCGUUAUCCGGAAUUAUUGGGCGUAAAGCGCGCGUAGGCGGUUUUUUAAGUCUGAUGUGAAAGCCCACGGCUCAACCGUGGAGGGUCAUUGGAAACUGGAAAACUUGAGUGCAGAAGAGGAAAGUGGAAUUCCAUGUGUAGCGGUGAAAUGCGCAGAGAUAUGGAGGAACACCAGUGGCGAAGGCGACUUUCUGGUCUGUAACUGACGCUGAUGUGCGAAAGCGUGGGGAUCAAACAGGAUUAGAUACCCUGGUAGUCCACGCCGUAAACGAUGAGUGCUAAGUGUUAGGGGGUUUCCGCCCCUUAGUGCUGCAGCUAACGCAUUAAGCACUCCGCCUGGGGAGUACGACCGCAAGGUUGAAACUCAAAGGAAUUGACGGGGACCCGCACAAGCGGUGGAGCAUGUGGUUUAAUUCGAAGCAACGCGAAGAACCUUACCAAAUCUUGACAUCCUUUGACAACUCUAGAGAUAGAGCCUUCCCCUUCGGGGGACAAAGUGACAGGUGGUGCAUGGUUGUCGUCAGCUCGUGUCGUGAGAUGUUGGGUUAAGUCCCGCAACGAGCGCAACCCUUAAGCUUAGUUGCCAUCAUUAAGGUGGGCACUCUAAGUUGACUGCCGGUGACAAACCGGAGGAAGGUGGGGAUGACGUCAAAUCAUCAUGCCCCUUAUGAUUUGGGCUACACACGUGCUACAAUGGACAAUACAAAGGGCAGCGAAACCGCGAGGUCAAGCAAAUCCCAUAAAGUUGUUCUCAGUUCGGAUUGUAGUCUGCAACUCGACUACACGAAGCUGGAAUCGCUAGUAAUCGUAGAUCAGCAUGCUACGGUGAAUACGUUCCCGG